GAUUCAGUUAAAAACUGAAUUAACUGAAAUCAAUUCAACAACAACUGCCCCGGUGCUUCCCCGUAGAUAGCACCGCUGUUGUUUCAGGAACACAGUCAUCCCUCAGAAAUGGAUUGGGUGACAAGUGGUCUGCAUGCUGCACACGGGCACUGGAGUGGACAAUUUAUUUGGUAUUGACUUAGUGUGAGGCAUGCCCUAGACCCGAGGAAUAUAAAGGGGACUGGGAGAAAGCCCGGCCUCCCUGGAGCUCUUCACGUGAUGACAGGCGCAGAUCAGCGGACAGGCGCGUAACAGGAGGUGCUAAGUGCGCAGGUGGGGUCACGUGCCGCGUCACAGCAGUGCUGGAGGAGAGUCCUGACUCAUGGCCUGGGAUGCUGGGGUUCCUCCCCAGAGAAGCUCUUUUGGACCUGGGAGAAGGAGUAGGACUUUGAUACACCAUGGAGGUCUCUGAAUGUAACCAAAUUGUUCUCCUCUUAUCAUUCCCAUUCACUGGUGUACUUGUUUGUGGAGCCUGCAGAACUGCCUUUUUCAAGAAUGGCAGCUUGGCCUCUAAAUCUGCUUCCCACUGAUGGGAAGAGCUGACAGAAGCUUUAGAGAGGCACAGGGUGAGUUCCUAAAACCAGAGUCAACACACACUCUUCAUCUGUUUUGUGCUUCACUCCCUGCUCAUCUUCCUAAAACACUGAGUUUGGUCAUAUCAUGUCCUACAAGUUGUCAAUGAUUUCCCAUGAUCUUGUCUUCAGGAUAAAGUUCCUUAGUCAAAAGCAAUGAAGACCUGACCUAAUCUGUAAGGCAAAAUCAACACUUUUUAGCCUGGCCUUCCAUGCCCUUCCAUGCCCUUCGAGCCCCCAGAGCACCCAUGGCAGUCCAUCUCUCUCUACUUGUCCAGAGGGACACUCUCUUAGAGCCAGUGGCUCCUACUCACGGUUCCCCGAACACGUCGUGGGAAUGUUUGCCUUCAUACCUUCCCAGAUCAUUUUCCUGAUCUCAGACACCCUCCGUCCUCAUUCAUUCACUCUUCAAUUGUCCAACAAAUAUUUGUUGCUCAUGCAACCUGGAUCACCCACAUAGUUUCAAGACUGCAUCUUCUAAACUAUUUAAAUCCUAUCCAUUCUUCAAGAAAUGUUUCAUGACGCUUCCUUAACUGCUAAGGACCCGCAGAUUCUCUUCCUCUUGGGACUCACACACUGACUCAUCUCCCGAUCUUUUGGUGCUCAGCAAAGUGGAGGCUUCUGUUUUGGACUUAGAGUCAAGACCAUUAAAUAAGACUAUGCUCUAAAAAGUACACCUCCGUGGCCCGGAACGAGUGAAUUAACAUCUAUGAGUUUCCAUUUCCUUGUCUAUAAAAUUGUGAAAUUGCAACUUAAGAUUAGUUCUGAAGAUUAAAUGAGGUAACAUAGGUGAAAAUGCUACAUUUAUGUAAGAAAUUACUCUUUCAUAAGGAUGUCAAUGUUUAAAUACGCAUUUUCUCAAUUUUGUUAAUGAAAUACUUUGAAAUUCUUUUUUCUAAUGAAACCUGCUGAAUGUAAAAGAGACCCGUACUAAAGAAAGAUACCACAUGAAGCACCAAGGGUCUCUUUCUGGAUCUAUCAUGACUCUUGUGACUGUUUCAGCAGCACAGAAAUUAAAGGCGAUUGUUAUUCUGGAGGAAGACAAUGAGUCUCAUCUAUAUCUUGUUUGGGUUGAUUUUGUAAACAGAACAUUCCAAAGAUCAUUCUUGCCUUUUGUUUCCACUGAGAACUAGAAUAAAGUAAAACAAACUAUCAAUUUAAGGAAAGCCUCGAAAUUGUUAGCAAUUUCUUCAGUAACUUUCAUCCAUCAACUGAUUUUAUGAACACAAAUUUGCAGAAAUGGGCAAGAAAAACUACUUAACUCAUUGGUGGGAAGCAGUGGGCUCUCUAAGGAGGGAGAGAUAGCAGUGAUUUCACCACCGGACCGUGGAACACAAAGAGCCUGGAAGAGUCUAUCACUUUCAACUGAAACCGCAAGAAGAACUAAGUAGGUUAAGCCCUAAGAAUGUUCCUAGGUAACCUACUUGAGUUGAAAUUUGACUAAGAAUCCUUACACCCUACCUAAGAGAGGUAACGCUAUUAGGAUCGGAAGUGAUUGGAAGCUUUGUUUCAGAUCUCGUCCAAAAGGGAGAACGGUCAAUGACAAAGCUGCUGUGAAUAGUAUUCUGGGGGCGUGGUGGAACCCCGAUUCACUGCUAUCUCCCGAAUCAGCAACUUGACAGAGCGCGCCUCCCGGGCCUUGGAAGCCUUCCAUUCCGAGCUGGCUGGGUGGGACUCAGGUUUUACGGUAUGCUGGACUUUUUCCCCGUGAGUUAAAACACAUUUAUAGUAACUAAG
This 2348-nucleotide long non-coding RNA is filed under the name Homo sapiens (human). RNAcentral's name for it is "PACRG antisense RNA 3". The record is from RNAcentral. Lineage: Eukaryota; Metazoa; Chordata; Mammalia; Primates; Hominidae.